Oryzias melastigma (Indian medaka) is the source of this 361-nucleotide long non-coding RNA. RefSeq lists it as uncharacterized. Lineage: Eukaryota; Metazoa; Chordata; Actinopteri; Beloniformes; Adrianichthyidae. The transcript is spliced from 3 exons. The record is from RefSeq and is a predicted model, not a curated record.
AGGUUCUUGACUGGAACACAGUGAAGAGUUCCUGAAGCCAGCAGAUGCAUCCUGCGAUUCUGCAGAGAUACAUGAGCGGAGCUCUGAUCUAAAAAUAACGUCAGCAGCGCAGACCUUUCAUUUCCCUCUGACAUCUGAAUGUGAGCAGAGGUCCAGCGAUGAUGCAGCGGUGAAACCUCAUCUGGAUUCCAUUAAGCAGGUUGUUACAAGAAGGAAAAAGUCGAUCAACGAAAUGCCUGAUUCAAAAACAAUUCUGAGAAGAAGUGGUUCCUCUUGCAAAGACAACAACAGCUUGCUGCCAAUUCUGGUUUGAGGAUGACAUCAUGACAUGGGCGGCGCCCACAAGGAGCAAAAGGCGGAG